AUUGCUUUCCUUUUUAGAUCAGUGUAUUGUUACUCGGACAUACCUUUUUCUUCACAAAUUUUGGUUCUUCAGUGCUGUCUAUUACUUUGGAAACUGGGCCUUCAUUGCAGUCUUUUUAAUUGGAUUAAUUGUAUCGUGCUGCAAAGGGAAGAAAUCUGUCAUUGAAGGUGAAGUGGAUGAAGAUGAUUCAGACAUGAGUGAUGAUGAACUGUCUGUUUACUACCAUUGACAGCCUUUGCCUUUAAGGUUAA
Tinamus guttatus (white-throated tinamou) is the source of this 251-nucleotide non-coding RNA. The record is from RefSeq and is a predicted model, not a curated record. Lineage: Eukaryota; Metazoa; Chordata; Aves; Tinamiformes; Tinamidae.